GGGGAGGUAGCAUAAUGAUUAUGCAAAAGACUUUUAUGCUUGAGGCUCUUAAGUUCCCAGGUUCAGUCCCUGGCACCACCA
RNAcentral lists this transfer RNA (81 nucleotides) under Erinaceus europaeus (western European hedgehog). It matches the Rfam family "tRNA". Rfam says of the family: Transfer RNA (tRNA) molecules are approximately 80 nucleotides in length. The record is from Rfam by way of RNAcentral. Lineage: Eukaryota; Metazoa; Chordata; Mammalia; Eulipotyphla; Erinaceidae.